GACGAACGCUGGCGGCGUGCUUAACACAUGCAAGUCGAACGGAAAGGCCCUGCUUUUGUGGGGUGCUCGAGUGGCGAACGGGUGAGUAACACGUGAGUAACCUGCCCUUGACUUUGGGAUAACUUCAGGAAACUGGGGCUAAUACCGGAUAGGAGCUCCUGCUGCAUGGUGGGGGUUGGAAAGUUUCGGCGGUUGGGGAUGGACUCGCGGCUUAUCAGCUUGUUGGUGGGGUAGUGGCUUACCAAGGCUUUGACGGGUAGCCGGCCUGAGAGGGUGACCGGCCACAUUGGGACUGAGAUACGGCCCAGACUCCUACGGGAGGCAGCAGUGGCGAAUAUGGCACAAUGGGCGGAAGCCUGAUGCAGCAACGCCGCGUGCGGGAUGACGGCCUUCGGGUUGUAAACCGCUUUCGCCUGUGACGAAGCGUGAGUGACGGUAAUGGGUAAAGAAGCACCGGCUAACUACGUG
Molecule: ribosomal RNA, 468 nt
Filed under: uncultured bacterium
Lineage: Bacteria
Description: partial 16S ribosomal RNA
Rfam family: Bacterial small subunit ribosomal RNA
Source: RNAcentral